Molecule: ribosomal RNA, 337 nt
Filed under: uncultured bacterium
Lineage: Bacteria
Description: bacterial SSU rRNA
Rfam family: Bacterial small subunit ribosomal RNA
Source: RNAcentral
CUGGGCGUAAAGCGCGCGUAGGCGGUUUGUUAAGUCAGAUGUGAAAUCCCCGGGCUCAACCUGGGAAUGGCAUUUGAGACUGGCAGGCUAGAGUAUGGUAGAGGUGAGUGGAAUUUCAGGUGUAGCGGUGAAAUGCGUAGAGAUCUGAAGGAACAUCAGUGGCGAAGGCGACUCACUGGGCCAUUACUGACGCUGAGGUGCGAAAGCGUGGGUAGCAAACAGGAUUAGAUACCCUGGUAGUCCACGCCCUAAACGAUGUCAACUAGGUGUAUGGAGAAAAUAUUCUUUGUGUAUCGAAGCUAACGCGAUAAGUUGACCGCCUGGGGAGUACGGUCGC